ACCAGACGAUGCGGUUACCGCGGCUGCUGGCACGGAGUUAGCCGGUGCUUCUUCUGUGAGUGAUGUCCUUCCUGCCGGUUAUUGACCCGCAGGCCUUCUUCCUCACUGAAAGUGCUUUACAACCCGAAGGCCUUCUUCACACACGCGGCAUGGCUGGAUCAGGGUUGCCCCCAUUGUCCAAUAUUCCCCACUGCUGCCUCCCGUAGGAGUCUGGGCCGUGUCUCAGUCCCAGUGUGGCUGAUCAUCCUCUCAGACCAGCUACGGAUCGUCGCCUUGGUGAGCCGUUACCUCACCAACCAGCUAAUCCGACAUAGGCUCAUCCGAUAGCGCGAGG
RNAcentral lists this ribosomal RNA (334 nucleotides) under uncultured bacterium. Its description in RNAcentral is "partial 16S ribosomal RNA". The record is from RNAcentral.